CGGGGUUGCAGGCCCGAGCGGAAGCACAGGUUCGCGGCUUCGCGUGCUUGCGGCUUGUGGGUAGGAUUGCCGGCGUGUUUGCAGGGGUGUCGGGUCCGGUACCGGUGGUGACGAGUGGCAGUGUGGCACGAAGCGUGGAUGGUCAAGAAGUGUUGUUACAGAGCAGUGGAGUUACCAGGUACCACUUUUAACAGUACCGCCUACCACUGUUACUGGGACGCACGCGCUUUCCCACCGGCGUGCCACCACUCGAGUAACGACCCGACGCCACACUCAGCCGCCUACCUAUCACGCGCUCUGACUCCCAGCCUCCCCGGCGACGGCGCCGCAAAUGACAGCGCGAUGGGUGGCCGUGUGGCGGCGUGCGCCAUACCUUGACUGUGAUGAGCCCCGCCCGGGCCCUGCCAACCGCCUCCACAUCUACUCACCACCCCGAGAACACGUUCCACUCAACGGCACAACACAUAUUAUGGUGCCUUCGCCCACCCGCUUAGACAGCGCGGCAGCCCUAGUUGGGCUUGGCGGGAGUUUCAUCGCAUUGUGGGCCUACAUGUUGGAACGCCUGGAAGGCUAGAAUACGAUGAGGUUCACGGCACGCAGGGCAGCCCUUACCCACCAACCACGCGUCCCCACGCUGUGAUAUGACCCACGAGGCCACGAUGACCCGACGCAGCCUCCUGCCUACAUCCAAUAGGCAAAUGGUCACAUGCCUUUCCAAGUUCCAGGGCGUUCAAUCAGGGAGCCGACGGUGUGAGGGCUCCCUCAGGCCCCUUUGACCGCUUGUUACCGGUGCUGGAUAGCUCGCUCGUUGGCUGCGUCUGCAGGUCCCUCGUACCUUACCUUGUAAUGAACACCCCUUGCCAACACCCUCUUUUCAUAACUCUGCAGGAGCUGGUGGAGGCGCGCGCGACGGAUAUGGAGGCGCGCGACCAGCCGCAGACGCUUGGCGGCGUGGCGUACGGCUGCCCGCUGGGGGUGCUGCAGGUCUACUACGCCCGCUGGGGUGCGGAGGGCGCGGCCGGCAGCCGACACAAGCGGCAGCUGCUGCUGCGUGCCCUGGCCAGCCCCACGCCCGACUGGGCCGCAAAGUGAGUCCUCGAGCCAUUGUUAGGCUGCAGAACGACCGCAACAUAUUCAAGGAAGUCAGUUAUUACCAAGGCACUUGGAAUGGGUCCAGCCGGGAUUCGGAUGGGGCGGGUGUGGAGGGAAUUCUGAGGCCUGCGCCUCCCGCACCUACCCCGUACCCCCGCCUCCCCCCGCCCCACCCCACCGCCACCUCCCUUCCUGCACCUGCCCAGUCCGCUGCCCCUGCCCCUGCCCCUGCCCCUGCCCCUGCCCCUGCCCCUGCCCCUGCCCCUGCCCCUGCCCCUGCCCCUGCCCCUGCCCCUGCCCCUGCCCCUGCCCCUGCCCCUGCCCCUGCCCCUGCCCCUGCCCCUGCCCCUGCCCCUGCCCCUGCCCCUGCCCCUGCCCCUGCCCCUGCCCCUGCCCCUGCCCCUGCCCCUGCCCCUGCCCCUGCCCCUGCCCCUGCCCCUGGCCCUGCCCCUGCCCCUGCCCCUGCCCCUGCCCCUGCCCCUGCCCCUGCCCCUGCCCCUGCCCCUGCCCCUGCCCCUGCCCCUGCCCCUGCUGCCCCUGCCCCUGCCCCUGCCCCUGCCCCUGCCCCUGCCCUUACCUCCCUGCCCCUACCUCCCUGCCCCUACCCCACCUUCCUGCCCCUACCCGACCUCCUUACCCCCACCGCCCUACCCCACCGCCCUACCCCUACCCCUCCCCCCACCUCCCUACCUCCCUACCGCCCUUCCCCACCGCCCUCCCCCCACUUCCACCUCCCCACCUCCCCACCUCCCUACCGCCCUACUGCCGCAGGUGCGACUGGCUGCUGCUCCAGUGGGCGGCGGUGACGGGGUGGCCGGGGGCCGAGGAGCGGGAGCUGGGCGGCGGCACGUUCGAGGGCUGGAUGCACGCCGCCUGGCAGCCCGACUACCUACAGCGGCUGCUGCUGCUGGCGGGGCACGGCUUCGGGCUGUGCCUCAACGCUGCAGAGGCCGCCGCCGCGGCAGGCAACGUGCCCGCCGCCGCGUACUGUCUGGACCAGCAGAGCAGCCGGCAGCAGCAGCGGCAGCCGCGGCAGCAGCAGCAGGCGCAGCAGGCGCAGCAGGCGCAGCCGCAGGUGCAGCCGCAGGUGCAGCCGCAGGCGCAGCAGGCGCAGCAGGCGCAGCAGGCGCAGCAGGCGCAGCGGCAGCGGCGGCAGCAGCAAGAGCACCGGGGUACAUCUGCAACCAGUGACAACGUGCCGCAACCCGACCAGCACCAGCACCCGCACCAACCGCAUCAGCACCAGCACUACAAGCUACAGGCCCCGGUGGCGCAGACGCCCCAGGACCCCAACCAACCCAACCGACCCAACCAGCCGGACCAAUCCAACCAGCAGGACCAAACGCCUAUCGCCAAGGCCGGCGGGCGCCUGGCCCCACCUCCACACCCACCCACGCCCCCGCCCCCGCCUCCGCCUCCGCCUCUGCCCCUGCAGUUGGACGGGCGCUAUUCCAGCCAUAUGGCUAACGCGGCUGCAAAGACCGGGCAGGUGGGUCUCGUGGCGACGCCGAGCACUUGAGGCACCGGCUUACUUAGUAGGAGUCACCCUCUUGUGACACACUCCCCCCCCCACAGUUUCUACUUCCAAAGGUAGCCUAGCGUGUUCCCUGGCUCGUGAGCAAUGCAGUCCUUCAAAACCCACACGCUUCCACAGGUAGAUGUCAGGGACAACACACAGUCACACACACAAACACAUACACCCUCCCCAACACACACACACAUACACAUACACACACGCACACACACACAUAUACAUCCCCCCAGCACACACACACAAUCAAUUGCAACGGGCGGGCGCGCGCUUGCUAUUUGUUUCCCCUUGUAACAACACGUCCGCAGGUGGGUGUGCUGCGGCUGCUGCGGGAGCGCGGCUUCGAGCUGUCGGCGCAGCACCUGGAGGAGGCGCUGGCGUUCACGUCCUCAGACUUCAACAGGUGCGGAGGUGCGGGUGUGGAGGCGCAGGUGUGGAGGUGCGGGUGCGGGUGGGUGCGUUUACCUCGAUCGUCGCAUGUCAUCAACGGGUCCGGGCGUGUGCGUGGGUGGUGGGUGCAGGUGCGGCACCCGUACAUCUGUGCACCAGGUGCCAUUGUCACACCUGAUCACACCUGAUCACACCCGAUCACACCUGAUCACACCUGAUCACACCUGACCCCAGGUUCUAAGACCACUUGCACCAACCCCAACUUCGCACCUGUUCAGCAAUCUGUUCAACCCGCCCGCUGCCCGCCCGCCGCAACAUGCAGUCCCACGGAGACGGAGGGCCAGGGCCUGCCCUCGGUGCGCUACCUGGCCACCCUAGAGCUACCCGACAACGCCCUUGUGGGCGGGCUGGGACCGUUGGCGGGCGGCGGCAUCGGUGGCGCCGAACGCGGCGGGGGCGUCCGUGGUGGUGGCGGGGGCGGGGGCGGCGGGGGCGCGCUGGUGGGGGCUGUGGACUGGAGCGGUGUGUUUCGUGACGUGGCGGCGUGUGGCAGCGACCUGCAGCUGCUGCGACACCUGCACCACCGGGUGAGCUCGCGGGAGUAGGGGGGGCUCGGGGCGGGGUUGGAAUGUGUGUGUUUGUUAGGAGCGCGGUCGUACUGCGGGGCAUGUCGUGGCGUGAAUCCGGACAGCUGCUGUCAUGACUUUAUUUGUGACGUGCCUCCUGUGGGCCCGUACGAUCUCAUGUGUACCUGGAGAUUACAAGGGUAGAAAACACGCGAGGGCAUGAUUGUGUUUGUGACAUGUAUGUGUGUUUGUUUGUGACAUGCAGCGUGGCGCCGUGGUGAGCCUGGCGGCGGUGGCUCAGGGCGGCGGUGUGGAGGCGCUGGAGUGGGCGCUGCGGCAGCUGCCGGGGGCGGCGGCGGGGCUGCUGCCAGAGGUGAGUGCAGAGUAGCGGGUGGUGGUAGUGGGGGUGCUGUGUGUGGGGCAUUGUCGAUGGACGGCACGCUGGAGCUCCAUCCGUGCGUGCCGUGCAUGCAUCCGUGCACACACCAGGAAGCCACACACGCACGCGCACGCACGCACACACAUGCACAGGCGUCACAGGCGCCCAUCACUUGCACACAUACACACACCACAUUGACCCGCGCCCAACCGCCUCCCAACCGCCUCCCACCAACCACCUCCUACCAACCACCUCCCCAACCACCUCAACCUCCAACCACCUCUACGUACCUCCCCAACCGCCCGCAGCCGCUGUCCUCCCGCGACUUCACCACGGUCCUCAGCGCCGGCAACUGGGCCGCCGCCGACUGGCUGCUAGCGCGCGGCCUCGCGCCCACCAGACAGGAGCAGCUGCAGCGGCUCUUCGCCGCCUUAGCACCGGACAUGGGCGAGGCAGUGCUGGUCUGCGGCAUUCCGGCGCUUCGGUGGAUCGUGGCGCGAUCCGGGCUGCGAUGGACGGCCAAAUGUCGGGCGAUGCUCGUGAAGCUGAGGGUCAAGUUGACGCAGGGCGAGCUGUCUGUGUUUGUGGCGCCAGGGCAGGCGCGCUGGUUGGAGGAGAUGGUGGCGGCGGCGGACGUGGCGCUGCUGGCGAGUGGACGCGGGCGGGCGGGUGCUGGGGGUGCGGGUGGGGGUGCGGGUGGGGAUGCGGGUGUGGUGGCGGGUGCGGGUGCGGUGGCGGGGGCGACGGGAGCGGCGGACGGCUGAGGGUGUAGGGCGUGAGGUUGGAAUGGCAACGGCGUGGUGAGGAAGGGGAUGGAGGACACAGGGGGAAAGCGCUGGCUAAGCCGACACUGUGCGUGCAUGUGUGCGACUGAGUGCGUGUGUGACACGAUCAUGCAACCUCGGACCCCCGGUGCGCCGCGAUUGGAUUGGUACGGCCCGGCGUAAGUGUGUUGUGGUGUGUAUCGUGUACGGUGCCCUGGAGCUUCUUGGCACUGCUAACAUGAUUUGGUGCUGGACAACCCGGGUUCACUUCAGUUUGGGGCACCGUCCCAAAACUGGACAACCUUUGGACCCGUGUUUAGACGUGGUAGUACAGUCCGACGUGGAAACCAACCUUACCUACCCCGCCUGUCGUGUCAGAUUCACCGUCCGACUGUACUACCACUGCCGUACGGCCCUUCCCGUGCGGGGGGUCAUGGGGGUGGGCCGGGGGGGUUUCACGACGCCAAACUGGUCUCCCCUGAGUCCCCCACGCUCUCAGCCCCUCCGUACAUGUAGUAAUGACUUGCUGGUCAAGUGGGAGGGCGGUCCACGCUCGCCUGAGGUCGAAAUGGGCGGGUUUUGGCCCGCCAGCCAUGCACCCGAUGGGCGCGUGUCGGUCCGAUCGGGCCAAAGUGUGCUGGAGAGAGCAGUAACUCACUCAAUAUGUUAUUUAGAUACCCAAUAUUGCACUGGAAUGUACCCCGGGACAAAAUGCGAGGCUCUGCCGACCAGCAAUUUCGCGACCGGAGUCCCUCACACCGCCACAUUUUCAAUGCUAUAUCAUUGCCGUGUCUAUUAUUGACUAUACGGAGCACUUUGCACGGCUUUUCAAGGGCUAAACGCUGCCCUUCGUGCACGUUGUCGCGGCAUGUCGCUGCAUUUUGCGAGCUCGGCGAGCGGACAGGCCGCUCCAGGGACUAAAACAGCAAGUCAUAACAUAUAAACGUCAUGUAUAAGCAUUAGACGAGGUUUGGUCUUUGGACGGUGCGGCGUGUAUGGGCACGCCCCCGAGUGAACCCGGGUUGGUGCUGGAUAGGAUUGAUCUUCCUGCGGCGGGCGGGGCUGCGGGGUUGCAGGCCCGAGCGGAAGCACAGGUUCGCGGCUUCGCGUGCUUGCGGCUUGUGGGUAGGAUUGCCGGCGUGUUUGCAGGGGUGUCGGGUCCGGUACCGGUGGUGACGAGUGGCAGUGUGGCACGAAGCGUGGAUGGUCAAGAAGUGUUGUUACAGAGCAGUGGAGUUACCAGGUACCACUUUUAACAGUACCGCCUACCACUGUUACUGGGACGCACGCGCUUUCCCACCGGCGUGCCACCACUCGAGUAACGACCCGACGCCACACUCAGCCGCCUACCUAUCACGCGCUCUGACUCCCAGCCUCCCCGGCGACGGCGCCGCAAAUGACAGCGCGAUGGGUGGCCGUGUGGCGGCGUGCGCCAUACCUUGACUGUGAUGAGCCCCGCCCGGGCCCUGCCAACCGCCUCCACAUCUACUCACCACCCCG
RNAcentral lists this long non-coding RNA (6222 nucleotides) under Chlamydomonas reinhardtii. RNAcentral's name for it is "long non-coding RNA (CREI_LNC000941)". The record is from RNAcentral. Lineage: Eukaryota; Viridiplantae; Chlorophyta; Chlorophyceae; Chlamydomonadales; Chlamydomonadaceae.